This 156-nucleotide small RNA is filed under the name Sphenodon punctatus (tuatara). RNAcentral describes it as "TUC338 (ENSSPUG00000012303.1)". The record is from RNAcentral. Lineage: Eukaryota; Metazoa; Chordata; Lepidosauria; Sphenodontia; Sphenodontidae.
UUGUCAGCCCUGGAGACUGAGGUCUGCCAUUUGUCCACAGAACAGAUAUAGCAGGGGCAGGAUAGGCCAGCCUUCCCUACUGUGCAUCCUGACCUGCAGACUGAGAGGCCAAGCCAGUCUCUGCAGACCUCCUCCAUCUUCAUCCCCUCUGCUGAG